RNAcentral lists this long non-coding RNA (444 nucleotides) under Trifolium pratense (red clover). Its description in RNAcentral is "long non-coding RNA (TPRA_LNC006499)". Lineage: Eukaryota; Viridiplantae; Streptophyta; Magnoliopsida; Fabales; Fabaceae. The record is from RNAcentral.
UUUCAAUUUUUAAAACCAAAAUUUACAAAAAAAAUAAAAAUAAAAAAUCUCAUACCUGAAAUUUAAAAGACAAUUAAAUUUGCUAGGGUCACACUCCUCUAACACAUUCCAAUUAAAAUUUGCCACAUCAUCCGCUAGUUUUCUCUAUGUAACCUGUUACCUAUUUGUAACCACUUAUUUUAUUUUAUUUUUUAUUACUUGUUAAUACGUUUCAUCUUCUUCUCUGUACUUCAAACCUUCCAACAAAAUUGUCCCACCACUAGAAUCGUAUCUUCAAGUUUUAGGAUUUAAUAAUCCAAACCUGCAUAAACAUUACAAUAACCCAAAACAAAAUUCCAUUGAAAACAUGUUUCACACUAAAAUCUUAAUUGGAUAUGAUUUCGAUGAGUAGUGUAGAAAUUAUAGAUCCCUUCGUUGAGAAUGGUUGUUCGGAAGGCUUGGAAG